AGUUCUGGGUGGCAGUGAUUCUGGGGAUGACUGGGUCCUACCAUCAGGUUCAUACAGCUGGCAUCAGGCAGGACACACUGGAACUCAUGAGAACACCUGGAACUUAUACACACCAGAGAAGCCAUUUGCAUUUCUGCUGGGAUGGGAUCAGGAGCAUGGGUGGAAGGCAUCAGGAUAUCCAUGGACUAGAUUAGCACAGCAGGUGUUUAGGGGCAGAGCCAUAUGCAAAUCUCCAAGAGACCACAGAGCAGAAAGCUGAGGCUCCUCUGACACACACAGCAAGGGACUGCCCAGCUGUCUCACAGAGACACUCAGCCCAAAUCCCCACACCAUGGAGUGGACAUGGAGGCUCCUUUUCCUGCUGGCAGCUGCCACAGGUUCCUUCUCCCAGGUGCAGCUGGUACAAUCUGGACCUGAGCUAAAGAAGCCUGGAGAGGUUGUGAGGGUCUCCUGCAAGGCUUCUGGAUACACUUUUACUAGCUAUGGUAUGAACUGGAUAAGGCAGGAGCCAGGAAGUGGCCUGCAGUGGAUGGGAUGGAUCAACACUAACAAUGGAAAUCCAACAUAUGCUGAGGGCUUCAAAGGACGGGCUGUCUUCUCCCUGGACGCCUCUGUCAGCACAGCAUAUCUGCAGAUGAGCAGCCUGAAGGUCGAGGACACGGCUGUGUAUUAUUGUGCAAGGCACAGUGUGGAAACCACAUCCGGAAGGUGUCAGAAACUCUUACAGAGAAGCUGGUUCUGCCGCACUACACAGGAGCACUAG
Molecule: non-coding RNA, 763 nt
Organism: Perognathus longimembris pacificus (Pacific pocket mouse)
Lineage: Eukaryota; Metazoa; Chordata; Mammalia; Rodentia; Heteromyidae
Source: the annotation of a RefSeq genome assembly